UAGUACGAGAGGACCGGAGUGGACGCAUCACUGGUGUUCGGGUUGUCAUGCCAAUGGCACUGCCCGGUAGCUAAAUGCGGAAGAGAUAAGUGCUGAAAGCAUCUAAGCACGAAACUUGCCCCGAGAUGAGUUCUCCCUGAGACUUUAAGUCUCCUGAAGGAACGUUAAAGACGAUGACGUUGAUAGGCCGGGUGUGUAAGCGCAGCGAUGCGUUGAGCUAACCGAUACUAAUGAACCGUGAGGCUUAACCUUACAACGCCGAAGGUGUUU
This 270-nucleotide ribosomal RNA is filed under the name Xanthomonas citri pv. citri. RNAcentral describes it as "partial 23S ribosomal RNA". It matches the Rfam family "Bacterial large subunit ribosomal RNA", at positions 2679 to 2925 of the family's 2925-position model. Lineage: Bacteria; Pseudomonadati; Pseudomonadota; Gammaproteobacteria; Lysobacterales; Lysobacteraceae. The record is from RNAcentral.